UAUAUUAAUUUUCUUUAUUGCUUUUCUGUUCUCAAUUUUAUUGAUUUCUGCUUUGAUUUUUUAUUAUUUUUUCUUUUUGUUUUGAGCUUAUUUUGCUCUUCUGUUUCUACUUUUGUUAAUAGAAAUGUAGAUUAUCAACUUGAGACCUCUCAUUUUUAAUGUAAGCCUGCACUGCUAUCAGUUUUUCUCUAAUCGCUUCUUUAGUUCUAUCUGACAUAAUAUUUUGUAUCUUUUAAAUCAUUCACAUCUAUGUAUUUGUUUUUAAAUUAUUUGAGACUUCCUUUUUGACCCAUGGAUCAUUUAAAAAUACGUUAUUUCCCACAUGUUCUCAGAUUCCUCUUGUUUUGUUAUUUAUUUCUAGUUUGGUAUCACAAAAAAUACAUAACACAAUUUAAACUAUUUUUUUAAGUUUGUUGAGGCUUGAUUAAUGUCUACUUAUGUCUAUGAUCUAUCUUGAUGAGUAUUCCAUGAAGGUCUGAAAAAAAUUGUGUGUUCUGCUGUAAUUGAGCGGAGUGUUUUUAUGUGGCAGUUAGAUCUUCUUAGCUGAAUGUGCAUAUAUUCUAGAUAUUGCAGGUCAUUGCUGAUUUUCUAAUAAUUCUAUCAUUAUUAUCAGUGUUGGAGUCUGCAAUUACAGUAGUGAAUCUCUGCUUUCAACUCUUUAUCAGUUUUUGUUUCAUGUUAUUUUGCGAAUACGCUCUCGUGGUCGGUACAUAUUUAGAAUUUUUAUGUCUAGUUGAUUGAUUCUUUUAUCAUCAUUAGUAUAAAAGACACAAGGAUCAAAAACAUCUAAAUGAAACGUGGUUCGGACAAGAAGGCAUAGACCCAUUUCUUCUUGCUGUCUCUCACGAGACACAACCUUAAGCAUUAGAAGUAGUGAAAAGACAAAUAUAGAGGAGAACCCUGAAGGUAGUAAAAAUAAGAGAGCUUUCUUUGUACUAUCCUUGAGUGUUUCACUACGUAUUAAAUUUCCACAAUGCAUCACUAGAGCCUAUAUUGUAUCUGUGGACACUCUUUAAAUGUGGACAUUUAAGCAAAAGUUGAAAGAAUAAAUCUAGAAAUAAAAAUGAAUGUGAAAUUUGAUGAGAAGGAUUGGCUCCUGCUGCAAAUAAAUUUCUGUUCAUUAUACAUUACAGUCAGUGGUAUUCUAUUAUAGCAGCAUGAAAUGGUCUAAUACAUCUGAUCAAGAAUGGAGAAUCUCAGUCCUAUGAGGACAAAGAGGCUUCCAUGACCUACUAAGUUGCCUGGUAUUGUUCAGUCUCUCCUGCAGGCUCUUUGUCUUGUAGCCUAAGUAUCUCUUGGUAGAAAAAAGAAGUCUCAGGACAGGUGGGUGAGGAGAUGCACUCUCAUGUCUUAAGUUCAGCUGGUGCUAUGCUGGGGGCUACUGUUUGAUCUGGAGAAACAAUGGGCCUAUCUGGGCUGCCUUCUGCUACUAUGUCAUGGGGGAAAGAAGUACUGGAUAUGGAUGGCCUUCCUCUCAGGUGGGAGGACACAAGGCAUCUUGAUGUUGUGUUGUUGCUCAAAUCCUGGGUCCCCACACCAGCUCUUCUAUUUUUACCACCUGCAGAGUUCUCCUUUAUUUGCUUUUUGUACCAUUUGCAGUGCUUAAGGUUGUGCCUAGUGAGAGGGAGCAGGAAGAAAUGGGUCUAUGCCUUCUUAUUUGAGCUACAGCUUACUUAGAUGUUUUUGAUCCUUGUUUCUCCAAUAUUAAUGAUUAAUUUUUAAAACUUUACCCUAAAUUAAUCUGUAUUACCUUUUUUCCAUAAACUCCAUAAAGACAGAAUGUGUUUCAUUUUUAUAUAAUUAAACACCCUGCCUGCAGUUUACAAACAAAUGAUAUGUCAUUUAAGUUUCAUAAAUGGGAAAAAGGUUAAUCACAGACAGUUUAUUUCUUUAAAAAAUAACACAAAUUUCUUAUUUCUGUAUUUGUCAUAAGUUCAACCUUUUUGCAUUAUCUUGAUCAGUGUAAAAUGCUUGGAUGGUCAGUGUUGUUUGACUUGUGUCUGUAUUUGGUUAGGAUCCAUUUAAACUCUCUAGGAUAAUGUCAAAAUCAAUUUCUUCCUUUAUACUUUCUUAUUUUCAAAGAAAUGGUGCUAAAUAUUUCUAUGAAUAUAUGGAAAUAUCUAUGCGAAUAUGUAUCUGACUAAAAAUGUUGCAGGCAUCUUUUCUGUUUUUUUAACCCUUUGUAAUAUUUUUAUUUUGUUUAUUUAGUGAUAUAAGGGAAAAUUGUGAGCAUUUAACUACAUAAUCUUUAUGUUUCCACCAAACUCAAUUUUUUAGUUCUUAGUAUAUGGCCUAUAAUCUAACUUUAAUUUAUCCCUUUUAUAUUAGCUUAUUUUCUUGUUAACAACAAGGAUAUCUCUUCUGGAGUAUCUCAAGUCAAGGUAGAAAAAGUAGUCAACAGGAAAAUGAACAGAACAGUUUUGGAUAUGUAUGAGAAUUUAAAGCAAAUGUUUCUAAAUGAGAAAUUGUAACUCAGGAAAUAUUUGGCACAUUCUAUCAAAAUUUUGUGAAUUUUGAUAAUAAAACAUUCACAAUUCAAUUAGGAGUAAAGGAAGAAAAUAUAAGCUAUAUCUAUCAAUAAAAGAUUUUUUUCCAUUUUUGUUUCAUCUAGCAAUAUUCUUUUCCCUCCAUAAGGAAUCUGUUAAAAACUCUCUUCUUACUAUCCUUCAGUCUUUUAAAAUGUGUUAAAUUCCCACAGUGCAUUAUUAGAGCCUAUAUCUGUGGACACUCUUUAUGUGUUGGUAUUUGAGCAAAAGUAGAAAGAAUAAAUCCAGAAAUAAAAAUGAAUGGGAAAUUUGACAGGAGAGAUUGCUUUCUACUGCCAAAUAUAUAACUAUACUUCAUCUAGUCUAUCACUCAAGGAGGUUUCAGAAUGAAGAAUCAUUUCCAAAAUGCCAUCCUACUUUCAUCUUUUCCCAAGGAGGUUCAGAAUAACCUGCAAGUGGAUCACUGAACAAAGAAAGUACAAAACCACAAAUAGUCCCUCUAAGGUCCUUUAAAACACAAACUUGGAACAUUUUUAUGACAUUUCAAAAUGACUUGUGAUCCUGAUACUACUAUUUAAAGAUAUAGCUUGAAUCAAAUAAAAUAAAUUAUAGGUCAUCUGUCUAAGGAUGGAACAUUUUGUUUUGUUUUUUUCCCCAUUUGACUUCUUAAAAUUAAUUAU
RNAcentral lists this long non-coding RNA (3166 nucleotides) under Homo sapiens (human). RNAcentral's name for it is "HSALNT0217081". The record is from RNAcentral. Lineage: Eukaryota; Metazoa; Chordata; Mammalia; Primates; Hominidae.